Molecule: unclassified non-coding RNA, 1166 nt
Filed under: Athalia rosae (coleseed sawfly)
Lineage: Eukaryota; Metazoa; Arthropoda; Insecta; Hymenoptera; Athaliidae
Description: misc RNA ENSAEAG00005000211.1
Source: RNAcentral
UAUAGAGACUAUUAUCCCAGUUUCUCCGUCGUUAAUAAUUAAAGUAAAUUUAAUACCUAUACAUCUACAUUAUUUACAGACAUUAUGUUAGUACAACAUUCACACGCAUAUUUUUCGAGAUAUUUUAUGUGUCUUGUUUAAAUAAAAUUAUUAUGAAAACACACCGGAUGUGAACGUGGAUGAUGCGUAUACUAUGAUGGUGCAAUUUUUAGAUUUCAAUUUUUCUUGUAAUUUUAUCCGAUGGCGUUUUAUUAUGCGACAAAAUAAUCGUCCUCGAAAUUAUUUUCACUUUUUACGCCUAAUUACGCACACAUGCGUACUUUAUAAGUGGGCUCCAAAAUUGUAUAAAAAAAAAAAAACAAGAAAACAAACAAAUAAUUUUAAUAAUAAUAAUCAUAACGAUGCUAAUAAGAAUAAUGAUAAUAAUAAUCAUAGUUCUAACUAUAGCGGUAGUAAUACUAAUAACGUUCGUAAUGAUAAAAGUAUAAUAAAGCACCGAGGAAUAAAUAAAUCACGUAAAACAUCUCAAGUUAAAUAAAUAUAGACCUCAUUGUCUGCGAUACGACAAGGUCGUGUUACCGCCCCCCUCCCCCCCCCAGGAAAAUAGAAAAAUCCCCGCAGGCUUCCAUUUGAAAAUCAAAAAGCCAUUCAACCAGAUGGUAAUAAACACGAUAUUCGCGAUGUUCACCGCGAAUGUAAUUCACACACGGGAAGGGGUCAGAAGGGAAAUGGAAAUGGGAAUCGGGAGAAUCAGUGAAGGACUAUUUUCUAAUUAUACUUUACCUUUCAAGCGAUUAUAAAUUACCGCGAAUUUCGCCGCCCCCCGGUGAUCCUGAGAUGAGCAUUGUAUGAAGAGGGUAAUAAAAUACUUGCAUGGGUAUUCUACCUCAGGUUAGUAUACCUAUACUACAAGUACGUGAAUUGCUUUGGACCAACGUCUCUCAGCUAAUGAGCUUAUUGAAUUUUUUUCAUUCACCUUUUCCUUUCAGUUAAGGUCAGUGAAAGCUUUCGAUCGGUAGUGGGGGUGUUAUCGGGGGUAAAUGGUCUCCGCAUGUCGGGAAGUUCGGAGGAAUCGGGGGAAGGUCUCCGUGUGUCCCUACGUGAAGGACCAAAUUCAUACCGAUCACUAUAUGGAACAAGAAGUGACAGUGGAACAGCCAGUAGCC